RNAcentral lists this ribosomal RNA (253 nucleotides) under uncultured bacterium. Its description in RNAcentral is "partial 16S ribosomal RNA". It matches the Rfam family "Bacterial small subunit ribosomal RNA", at positions 524 to 776 of the family's 1533-position model. The record is from RNAcentral.
UACGGGGGGGGCAAGCGUUGUUCGGAAUUACUGGGCGUAAAGGGCUCGUAGGUGGCGUGUCGCGUCUGCCGUGAAAGCCCAUGGCUUAACUGUGGGUCUGCGGUGGAUACGGGCAGGCUGGAGGCUGGUAGGGGCAAGCGGAAUUCCUGGUGUAGCGGUGAAAUGCGCAGAUAUCAGGAGGAACACCGGUGGUGUAGACGGCUUUCUGGACCGUAACUGACGCUGAGACACGAAAGCGUGGGUAGCAAACAGG